AUGGUGAAGAUUGUGCUCAAGGUAGACAUAUCUGCUGAGGGGGCCAAGGCCAGAGCAUUUAGCAUGGUUGCCAAGAUCCCCGGGGUGAAGUCGAUCGCAGCGGACAUGGAGAAGGGGACGCUGACGGUGGUGGGGGAGGUGGACGUGGUCUGCGUGGUGUACGCACUGCGGAAGGCCAAGUUCAAUGCCCAUGUUAUCACCGUCGGGGAUGACAAGAUGGAAGAGCGGAGCAAGAUUCCGCCAGCAAGAAAUAAAGGGGAACCGUUGAAGAUUCCGCCCGCAAAAAAAGAGGAGCCGAAGAAGUUUCAGCCGGACCCGUCCGACGGCUACCAGGAGACCAGCAGCAUGGAUCUGCUGCUCCUGCCUUGGAAUAGUGUUUCUCUUGGUGCCAUGGUCUCAAUUUUUAGGAAGCUCGCGGGUACUGGACAUAAGACCGAAAUCAAGAAACUCACAACCAGGCUGCUCAAACUCUCAAGGACACAGGAUCCGCCUGUUACAGCGCGGAUCUGGAUGAAGGAUGUACGGGAACUAUCCUAUGACAUGGACAACUGUGUUGCCGCCGAAGAGGAUUGGAUCGGUAAGUUGUCAGGAUUCAUGGAUAGAAUGAGGGAGGCCAAUGGACGGUACGACACAUACAAGCUUGGGAGCGUCCCCAGCCGCCGUAUGGAUAUCGUCUCGAUCCCAGCGGUGGUCCGCGGCCAGAAGCCAGCAGAUCCAGUCGUCGGCCUACAUGCCAAGGGCGGCGCCGUCGAAACGCUCUGCAACUUGCUGACUGAUGGAGAUGAGCAGCUCAAGGUGCUAUCCAUUGUCGGUGUUGCAGGAAUCGGGAAGACCACGCUUGCCAAGCAGCUCUGGCGUGAGCGCAUGUUCCAGGGAUUCGACUGCCGGGCUUUUGUGCGGAUGGCCAAGAAACCUGACAUGAGGAGGAUUCUAAGGAGCUUACUUGCGCAAGUUCGUCCGCACCAACCACCCGACGCUAGUGACGUGCACGACCUCAUUCACGACCUCACCGAGCAUCUACAGAAUAAAAGGUACUUUCUUAUAAUUGAUGACUUAUGGGCUACAUCAGUAUGGGAUGUUGCUACCUGUGCUUUCCCGGAGGGUAAUCAUGGAAGCAGGAUAAUAACAACAACGGAAAUUGAGGAUGUUGCUCUAGCAAGCUGCAGUUAUCAGUCCAAGUACAUAUUUAAGAUGGAACCCCUCAGUGUCAGUCACUCAAAGGAGUUGUUCACCAGUGCAGUGUUUGGCUCUGGAAAAGAGAAAUCUCGCGAAUUGGAUUUAGUGUCAGAUGAGAUUAUAAGAAGAUGUGAUGGUUUACCACAGGCAAUUAUCAGCAUAUCCAGUGUUCUAGCAAGCCAUGGAGAGGCAAAUACAGUCGAGAACUGGGAGCAAAUACAGAACAGUUUGCCAACAAAUACAACUUCUGACGAGAUACUGAAACAAGUACUGUAUUUUUGCUAUGAUAGUCUUCCCAUUUGUGUUCAGGCAUGUCUGUUGUAUCUUGGUAUAUAUCCAGAAAACUACAUUAUCUUAACGGAAGAUAUAGCGAAGCAAUGGGUAGCUGAAGGCUUUAUCAGUGCACCAACUGAGAAACUAAAAAUGAUAGUUGCCCACAGCUAUUUUGAUAAGCUUGUCAAGAUGGGUAUGAUCCAACAGAUAGAUGCGAACUACAGUGAUGAGGUAUUGUACUAUGCAGUGCAUCACAUGGUACACGAUUUUAUUACAUCUAAGUGCAAAGAAGAGAAUUUUAUCAGUGUAAUAGAUUAUUCUCAAAGGACAGUGAGGUUUUCUAACAAGGUUAGUCGUAUGUCCCUCCAGUUUGGCAGUGCAACAUAUGCAACCACACCACCAAGUAUCGGGCUUUCGCAAGUCCGAUCACUUGCUUAUACUGGACUAACCAGCUGCUUGCCGCCCAAUUACAUCUCAGAGUUUAAGCUUCUUCGAGUACUGAUUCUCCAUAUUUGGGCUGAUCAACCAAGCACAGGUGUCGCCCUCGAGUGUAUCUCUGCAUUGCUUCUGUUGAGAUAUUUGCAGGCGACAUGCAACUGCACCGUGCAUCUUCCAGAACAGAUGCAACGUCUGAAACACUUGGAAACACUUGAAAUAAAUGCAAGAGUGGAAGCCAUUCCAUCAGAUAUCGUUCAUCUUCAGAGCUUGUUGCAUCUCCGUCUAGGAGGUGGGACACAACUGCCUUAUGUGACUGGUAUCCUAAAAAAUGUCACGCUGAAUCCUGCUAUUUCAAUGGAUGAGUCAAGCAGUCCUCCCGAUACAGUGAUGACAAUCGAGAUAUUGAUCCCCAUUUUUAGAACCCCGAAGCGGAUUGGACAGCUUACCAAACUCCGCAGUUUGAAAAUUGUUGUCAGAGAACUGCUAAGGAGUGAUAUCAGUAACCUCCAAGGAUUGCCAUCCCUCACUGUGCUCUCAUUGCACGUCCUGCGGCAAACUACAGAACUAAUCGGCUUCGCAAGUGGAGUAUUUCGUGCUCUCGUGUAUUUUGAGUUCAGGUGUGGCGUACUGCGCCUGAUUUUUCAGGAAGGGACAAUGCCUAACCUUCAGAGGCUCACGCUAGGUUUCAAUGCCCACAGAGGAGAACAGUAUGGUGCUUCGCUUCUCGGCAUUGAAGAUAUGUUAAGCGUCCAGAAGAUUUAUGGAAUGAUUGGGUCAGCAACCGGUGCUGAGGAACGUGACUUGAAGGCCGCAGAGUCUGCAUUCAAGAAAGCCAUGGGCAAGCACCCUAACGUCAGGGUAAAAAGAAUCGAUGUGGUUGAUGAAGAGUAUGGUCCGUCAGAAAAAGAGCAGACGGAAACGACCCAAGAGGAAGAUGCACCAAGUCAUGUAAGCAGUGAACAACCGGCAAUUCCGAAACAAGAGUCCAAGGAAGAUGCAAAGCAAAAUGACCCUUAUUCCAUUCAAAGGAGAACCAAUAGAAAGGAUGUCGCAAAUGUGGCGCAAGGUUACUCAGACAACCUAGAACUUGUCAGUGGUGCACGUGGAGAAGUUAACCUGAUGGAAGAAGAACGUAAGAAUAGCCUGGGGAGAGGCAACAGCAGCAUGGUUUUCACACUAAAUUUGAUCGAAACUAUUACAAAUGAUUUUUCAGAUGAUCAGAGAGUUGGCAGUGGUGGGCAUGGAGAUGUUUACAAGGCGAUAUAUAAAGGGCUAGAGAUUGCUGUGAAGAAGCUCCGUCCCUUGCAAGGACUUGAUGAUAAGCAAUUUCAAAAUGAAUUAUAUGACCUUACCAAGGUAUGCCACCAAAAUAUUGUGCGGUUAAUUGGCUAUUGCUACGAAUCUCGGCAUAAAUACAUCAAGCACAAUGGGGAGACUAUUUGGGCGAAAUCAAUGGAGAGGGUUCUCUGCUUUGAAUAUAUUCAGGGUGAAAGCCUCGAAAAACAUAUUGCAGAUGGAUCUUGUGAACUUGGCUGGCCCAUGUGUUAUAACAUCAUCAGGGGGACUUGUGAGGGCUUAAAUCACCUUCAUAGUGCUCCGGACAAACCUAUUCUCCAUCUAAAUUUGAAGCCUGCUAAUAUACUCCUAGAUAAGAGCAUGAUGCCCAAAAUUGCAGAUCUUGGUUUGUCACGGGUUUUUGCUUCAUCAGAAACACAUCAAACAGAGAUUGUCAAUGGAACAAACGAAUACAUGCCACCAGAAUACUUAGACGAUCGCUUUAUCUCAAAGAAGUUUGACGUGUUCAGUUUUGGUGUCAUAAUUCUAAAGAUGGUGGCAGGAAAUACUGGAUAUUUCCAUUGUUCUGACAUGUCUCCCAAGGAGUUUAUUAAGAUCGUAAGUGAAAAAUGGACCAAAAGGUUGCAGGCAAUGCCUGGCUCAUACUCGUCACAUGAAGUAGACAUCAUACGAGUGACUACGUGCGUUGAGAUUGCACUAAGGUGUGUCGACAAUGACCGGGAUAAAAGACCUCGGAUUAAGGAUAUUGUCCAUGAACUAGAGGAACUAGAAGUUGAGAUAGAGAAAAUGUCAAUACAUGAACUACAUAACCUAACUUUACAGGAAAACCUUGAAACACAGACGAGGGAGGUAGAAGAAAAAAGGGUCAGAAAAGAACUGAUGAUGGCUGAGAAUUGCUUUGGUGAAGUAGUGGACAACUACAAGUUGAAUAAAAUGACGAGGUACAUGGGUAAACCAAAGACGCAGGAAGACCGAGCACGAGAGGCCCUGAAUCAGGUGAACGAGGAUGAUAAGGAAGGCAAGGCGUCAAGUUAUGUGGAUGAUCUCAAGAGAAUGCACGGCGGCCUAGUGUCCACGUCGUGCCUCGUAUAUAACGCGACAGGCGACACACUGUACCAAGUUGACUACCACGACUGGCAUGGCCACAUUGGCAGCCCUCCCUGCCCUGCUCGGAUAGGCAACGGCCAGUGGGCAGCAUUCCAUCACGUCAAAGCUGCCUGCGAGACAUCUGGUUCGGCAGCGGCCGUUGUCUACCGCAGCAAGAAUAGAGAUGGCCAGGACCGGGAAUAUCUGGUUGCCUGGAGUACCCCGUGGGGUCCCUUUUCCUCUACUAAUAAGGCUUAUUGCGAGAUCGGCGGAGUCGAUAGCUUCAAGAAUAGCUGGGACAGUAUUUACCACAAAAUGAGCAAUUCAGGUUUCUCUGCAAAAGCCACAUCUGACGGGUGCGAUAUUGAAGUGAAAAUUGGCGGAGGUGCUAGUGCUCCAUUUAUUUCAAGAAUCACCAUGCGCUGA
Molecule: ribosomal RNA, 4695 nt
Filed under: Triticum aestivum (bread wheat)
Lineage: Eukaryota; Viridiplantae; Streptophyta; Magnoliopsida; Poales; Poaceae
Description: partial small subunit ribosomal RNA
Source: RNAcentral